This is a non-coding RNA of Pelobates cultripes (western spadefoot toad), 265 nucleotides long. Lineage: Eukaryota; Metazoa; Chordata; Amphibia; Anura; Pelobatidae. The record is from the annotation of a GenBank genome assembly.
CUGCUAUAUUGAUAGCUUGCUAGACCCUGCAAGAGCCUCCUGUAUGUGAUUAAAGUUCAAUUUAGAGAUUGAGAUACAAUUAUUUAACCCCUUAAGGACACAUGACAUGUGUGACAUGUCAUGAUUCUCUUUUAUUCCAGAAGUUUGGUCCUUACGGGGUUAAGGUAAAUUACAUCUGUUUGAAAGUGAAACCAGUUUUUUUCAUGCAGGCUUUGUCAAUCAUAGCCAGGGGAGGUGUGGCUAGGGCUGCAUAAACAGAAACAAA